RNAcentral lists this transfer RNA (94 nucleotides) under Hydrogenophaga pseudoflava. RNAcentral describes it as "tRNA-Val". Lineage: Bacteria; Pseudomonadati; Pseudomonadota; Betaproteobacteria; Burkholderiales; Comamonadaceae. The record is from RNAcentral.
UGCUGGGCGUGGCCUGGUUGCCCGAAGCCUCGGCGCUGACGGCGCUGACCGAACUGCGCGCGCUGAUGCCGUCGUUCGAGUUCGCGUCCUGCGU